UGAGGAAUAUUGGGCAAUGGGCGAAAGCCUGACCCAGCGACGCCGCGUGUGGGAUGACGGGGCUUGUCCUUGUAAACCACUGUCGGGAGGGAAGAAAAGCCGGGUUGCCCGGCUGGGACUGUACCUCCAAAGGAAGGACCGGCUAACUACGUGCCAGCAGCCGCGGUAAUACGUAGGGUCCGAGCGUUGUCCGGAUUUACUGGGUGUAAAGGGUGCGCAGGCGGGCUUGUACGUCAGAGGUAAAAUCCCCCGGCUCAACCGGGGACCUGCCUUUGAUACGGCAAGUCUUGAGUGCGAGAGAGGAUGGUGGAAUUCCUGGUGUAGCGGUGAAAUGCGUAGAUAUCAGGAGGAACACCCGUGGCGAAGGCGGCCAUCUGGCUCGCAACUGACGCUCAGGCACGAAAGCGUGGGGAGCAAACAGG
Molecule: ribosomal RNA, 422 nt
Filed under: uncultured bacterium
Lineage: Bacteria
Description: bacterial SSU rRNA
Rfam family: Bacterial small subunit ribosomal RNA
Source: RNAcentral